GGCAAAGCAGGAGGGGGACACUGUGCCCCAUACUCCUGCGUCCCUGGCCUGUGGCUACCCUGCUCUUAAUCUCAGACCCAAGGUCAGAGCACCAAGCUGAUGCUGAGAGCAGCGCUGAAGGGCUCACAGUUGCUGCUUCACAGGCCCCCGGGGGUGGGGGGUGUGGAGGUGGAGGAACAUGACCUACUUGCAGAAGGGGAAAGUGGCACUUCUCAGCAUGGGACUUGAGUCUUCAGAACAUGGUGGGCCAGAAAAAUGUGAGCUCCCGAAGUUCUGCACUGAAGCACGAUGUCUAAUCUGGCCCCAUCCUGACUUCUGCUGGAACCAAUGGACAUUGUUUUCCUGAAGAUAGAAGCCGGCUUCCUCAUUGGGUGUUCAGCAGAUGGGACGCACCAAACAGAAGACAGUAGCUCCCUGGGCUCACAGG
This 427-nucleotide long non-coding RNA is filed under the name Cricetulus griseus (Chinese hamster). RNAcentral describes it as "lncRNA (ENSCGRG00015042560.1)". The record is from RNAcentral. Lineage: Eukaryota; Metazoa; Chordata; Mammalia; Rodentia; Cricetidae.